UGGGGAAUAUUGCACAAUGGGGGAAACCCUGAUGCAGCGACGCCGCGUGAGCGAAGAAGGCUUUCGAGUCGUAAAGCUCUGUCCUAUGAGAAGAUAAUGACGGUAUCAUAGGAGGAAGCCCUGGCUAAAUACGUGCCAGCAGCCGCGGUAAUACGUAUGGGGCGAGCGUUGUCCGGAAUUAUUGGGCGUAAAGGGUACGUAGGCGGUUUUUUAAGUCAGGUGUCAAAGCGUGGAGCUUAACUCCAUUAAGCACUUGAAACUGAAAGACUUGAGUGAAGGAGAGGAAAGUGGAAUUCCUAGUGUAACGGUGAAAUGCGUAGAUAUUAGGAGGAAUACCGGUGGCGAAGGCGACUUUCUGGACUUUUACUGACGCUCAGGUACGAAAGCGUGGGGAGCAAACAGG
This 403-nucleotide ribosomal RNA is filed under the name Verrucomicrobiota bacterium. RNAcentral describes it as "Verrucomicrobia bacterium partial 16S ribosomal RNA". It matches the Rfam family "Bacterial small subunit ribosomal RNA", at positions 355 to 776 of the family's 1533-position model. Lineage: Bacteria; Pseudomonadati; Verrucomicrobiota. The record is from RNAcentral.